This is an RNA transcript of Cornus florida, 3705 nucleotides long. RefSeq lists it as uncharacterized. NCBI's taxonomy places the organism in Eukaryota, Viridiplantae, Streptophyta, Magnoliopsida, Cornales, Cornaceae. The record is from RefSeq and is a predicted model, not a curated record. The transcript is spliced from 7 exons.
AAAAAAUUAAGGCGCGACUGGUUGGGUGCUGAUCCUCUCUUGGAUUAUUCUAAUCCCAUCCAAUAUCCUAUCCUAUGUGACUGCUAGUGAUUCCUCAUUCUAGGUUUGAUGUAACUACAGUGAUUAAUUCACCUCUUUUUCUAGGGUUUCUAAUUCCCUAUACAAACAAAUCAGUAAAUAAAGUUUCCAAUUGUUUGAUUAUGAAUUUGUCCAUAAUUCAUUUGCAUAUCAUCAUCUCGAUCAAUUGAGGUUUGCUUGAUAAAUCGUUUGCAGUGACUAUAUAUAUCUAUAUAUAAAAAUAAUGGCGAGUGGCGGUGACGAAGACAACGAUGCUGUCUUGAGCGACAUCGAAUCCGACGAUGCCGUGCCGGUUGUUGUCAAGAGUCCGUUACCGGAAGAUGUUUCUGUGGAGAGAUUUCGAGAGGUUCUUGCGGAGCUCGAUCGCGAGAAGCAAGCGCGUGAGGCAGCCGAGAAUUCGAAGACCGAAUUGCACCAGUCGUUCAAUCGGUUGAGGGUUCUCGCUCACGAGGCAAUCAAGAAGCGUGAAGAGAGUUCGAGGCAGAGGGACGAAGCCUUGCGCGAAAAGGAGGAAGCUCUGAAGUCGAAUGAGAAGCUAUCGGUGGAACUAGACGAAGCUGUUAGUGUAAAAGAGGAGGUUUUGAAGCAGAGGGAUGAAUUCGGGAUGCAAUUCGACGAAACGAUGAAGGCAAAGGACUCGUUGAGAUCGGAGAUUGAAACUGCGGCUCAAAUGUUAGUGACCGGAAUUGAAAAGGUAUCAGAAAAAGUGAGUAAUUUUAAGAAUUUUUCUGCAGGGGGAUUGCCUAGGUCUCAGAAGUACACGGGAUUGUCAGCGGUUGCUUAUGGUGUUAUCAAGAGAAGCAAUGAGAUUGUUGGGGAGCUGCUUAGACAGAUUGAUUCAACCGCAAAGUCCAGGAAUGAAGCACGAGAACAGAUGGAGCAGAGAAACUAUGAGAUUGCCAUUGAAGUUUCUGAGCUUGAAUCGACGAUUAGUGGGCUGAGAGAAGAGGUUUUGAAGAAAAGUUCUGCUGUAGAGAAUUUGGAGAAAUCUAUAGCUGAAAAGGAUAGUAAGAUAUUCCAGAUAGAGAAAGAUAUGUCUACAAAAAAAUAUCUGGCAGAGGAUGAAGCCUCUGGGCUUAAGCAGUUGGUAGGUGAGUAUGAUGAUAAGUUGAGAUAUUUGGGAUCGAAGAUGGACUCACAAAGGCCGUUGCUGGCUGAUCAGUUGAAUUAUGUAUCAAAAAUUCACAAUCAGAUUGACAACGUUAUAAAAAUAAUUGAUGCUAAUAAUGUAGACCAAUUAGAGUUGUCAGACUCCUUGUUUCUCCCACAAGAAACAGACAUGGAGGAGAAUAUGCGUGCUUCUUUAGCCGGAAUGGAAUCUAUAUAUCAAUUAACUAGAAUCCUUGUUGAGAAAACAAGGGAUUUAGUAGUGGAGAGGAAUCAUGAAGUAAAAGAUUUGAAUGAAACGGUUUCCCAAUUGGUUAAGGAGAGAGAACAUAUUGGGUCUUUACUGAGAAGUGCUUUGUCAAGAAGGAUGCCAGCUGAUCUGUCGUCCAAAACAAAUGAAUUGUUUAAAGUUGCAGAAAAUGGGUUAAGAAAGGCUGGGAUAGAUUUUACAUUCAGCAAUCAUCAUGGGGGUGGAAGGUUUCCAGUUUCUAUUGACAAAGCAGGUGCUCUGGACACAGAGGAGGAUGAAAUAUAUACUUUGGCUGGCGCUUUGGAAAAUAUUGUUAAGCAGUCUCAACUUGAGAUUAUUGAGCUGCAGCAUUCUGUGGAUGAAUUAAGGGCAGAGACAGGUUUACUCAAAGAGCAUGUGGAGGCUCAAGCCAAGGAGCUCAGCCAAAGCAAACAACGGAUGGAGGAGCUCGAAGAAAAGGAUAGAGUGGCAAAUGAUAAUAUUGAAGGACUUAUGAUGGACAUUUCUGCUGCUGAAGAAGAAAUUACAAGAUGGAAAAUGGCUGCGCAGCAAGAAGCUGAUGUGGGCAAAGCUGUUGAACAAGAGUUUUUGACACAGUUAUCAGCCCUACGACAGGAACUUGAACAGGAGAAGCAAGCUGUGGUGGAGUAUCAGAAAACACUCAAAUUCAAAGCAGAAACAGCAACUGCUGCCAUGGCAGCAAGAGAUGCUGUUGAGAAAUCAUUGAGAUUGGCAGAUUUGAGGGCAUCUAAGCUGAGGGAUAGGGUGGUGGAGUUAACCCAUCAGCUCGAAAAGCUUGACACUAGAGAAAGCAGGGGCCCAAAUGGCCCUAGAUACAUGUGCUGGCCAUGGCAAUGGCUGGGGUUGGACUUUGCAGGAUUUCAACAGUCCGACACGCAACAACAAAGUUCAAAUGAGAUGGAGCUUUCCGAACCCUUGCUUUGAGUGAACUCCUUUUUUGUUUCUUCUUUCUUCCCUUUGUGUAUUUAUUUUGAUAGGGCGGAGGAGCUGACUCCAGUUCAAAGAGCUUGACACUUCAGGGAAAAGGGGAUAGACAAGUGCUGACAACGGCGUUGGCUUUGGUUGAACUUUGCAGGUUUCCAUUGCUUUGACACGCGAUAACAGAGUUCAAAUGAAACAUGCUUUUUUGAACGUUUCUCUGAGGUUUAUUUUUUCAACUAAUUGUACUGCAUUGAAGUUUUUAUGAAGAGAAUGAAGUUGCCUCUUCUUAUGUUCCUGCCUCAACAUUAAUGCAGUGCUAUGAACUUAAACAGAAUCGAGGUGAUCGUCAAUAACCUUUUGGUAGAAAUCAUCAACCUCGCGGAAACUCCUCUCAAGCCUCCCAUGGAGUCCAGUGAGCCUGUCAAUGAUCCACCCCGCGGAUGGAAAGAAAUUAGAGCGACAAGCUAGUAAGUAGUGCCAUUGCUUCAGUAAUCAUUUCUUGAAAUCUAUCACCAUCGAAUCCACUCCCCCUAAAACUCUUCCCAAAAGCAGUCCUACAAGUUAUAUUUGCAGUGAGGAAAAGCAUCUUCUCAUUAAGAUCAACAGGACUUCUUGAAGAAGACAAUUGAGCAAUCGAACUGAUCAUCAAAGAAACCUCCUCUUCUCUAAUGAACUGAAAUGACUGAAUCCUCUUCGCGCUGAAGAGUUCAAGAACGCAAAUCUUCCGCAUCUCCCUCCAGUAAUCACCAUAUGAUGUAAAAGCUAUGUCUAGAUGAUUGUAUGAGAGUUUUCCAGUGCCAGCUAACUGUGCCCUACUGCAACAAUCAACAUCAUGAGUUUUCAGGACCUCUCUUGCAGCCUCAGCGGAUGAGACUACAAGAGUGGGUACACUACCAAGUUGCAGAAGCAUGACUGGGCCAUAUUUCAUGGAGAGCUGCCAUAGAGAUUGGUGAGACAAUGUACCAAUCUGGUGCAAGUUGCCGGUGAUGGGCAGCUUAGGAGGGCCAGGAGGAAGCUGCUUGUUUUGUCACUUGGCUCUUAUCCUUUUAGUGAGUAUCACAAGAGGAGGAGAAGAAGCCAUAGGGGCGUUGUGUAUAGAGCCAUUGGAGGCUCUUUGUGAUCUUGUAUGUGAUGCACAGAUGAAGACUUUCAUUUACUUCUAUAUAUACACUCAACCAUCCAUGUGCAGAACACAAACUCUAGGUACGUUACAAUGAGUUUCUUUGUCUUUAUACAAGAAACAUGAUAUUUCUUUCUCAAUUCUUCUUUCAAGAUAUCUCUUCAAACUUUCACAAUAAAUGCCUGGGACACAUUUUUCUUACUUCGAA